GACGAACGCUGGCGGCGUGCUUAACACAUGCAAGUCGAACGGUGAAGCGCCUUCCUUUUUGGUGGGUGUGGAUGAGUGGCGAACGGGUGAGUAACACGUGAGUAACCUGCCCCCUUCUUCUGGAUAACCGCAUGAAAGUGUGGCUAAUACGGGAUAUUCUGGGUCUGUCGCAUGAUGGGUCUGGGAAAGAUAUUGUUUCGGUGGGGGAUGGGCUCGCGGCCUAUCAGCUUGUUGGUGGGGUGAUGGCCUACCAAGGCGGUGACGGGUAGCCGGCCUGAGAGGGUGGACGGUCACACUGGGACUGAGAUACGGCCCAGACUCCUACGGGAGGCAGCAGUGGGGAAUAUUGCACAAUGGGCGCAAGCCUGAUGCAGCGACGCCGCGUGAGGGAUGGAGGCCUUCGGGUUGUGAACCUCUUUCGCCAGUGAAGCAGGCCUGCCUCGUUUGUGGGUGGGUUGACGGUAGCUGGAUAAGAAGCGCCGGCUAACUACGUG
This 494-nucleotide ribosomal RNA is filed under the name uncultured bacterium. Its description in RNAcentral is "partial 16S ribosomal RNA". It matches the Rfam family "Bacterial small subunit ribosomal RNA", at positions 28 to 507 of the family's 1533-position model. The record is from RNAcentral.